RNAcentral lists this ribosomal RNA (675 nucleotides) under Triticum aestivum (bread wheat). RNAcentral describes it as "partial small subunit ribosomal RNA". Lineage: Eukaryota; Viridiplantae; Streptophyta; Magnoliopsida; Poales; Poaceae. The record is from RNAcentral.
AUGGCGCGGCAGCGGGGGAGCGUGGUGCUGCGGCGGAUCGAGGAUCGGAGGCGGCGGGGGAUCUGCUUUAGGAAGCGGCGGGCGGGGCUGGUUAAGAAGGCGGAGGAGCUCGCCGUGCUCUGCGACGCCCACGUCGGCCUCCUCGUCAUCAACCCCUUCGACGGCACCUUCCAACGCUUCGCCGCGCCCGCGACUAUGGAGAAUAUCAUCAAACGUUAUCAGAAUUUCCCAGAAGCACAAAAAAGAGCACAUGGAAGGAGCCUUCUCAAAGAGAGAAGAAGCAAGGAUUUUCAAGUUCCCAUAGUGACAACAGAUAGAAGGCCAAACAUUCAUGACAUGUCAAUUGAUGAAUCAAGCAUAUCCCAGUUGACCAUCGAACAGCUUAGCCAAAUUGAAAGAAAAUUGGAGUAUGCACUAAGGAGGGCAAAGACCAGGAAGUUGGAAGCGUAUAGGAUCGCCACACUACAGGAGAAGGGGAAAGCAACGCUCGAGGAGAGGGAUAUGAUGGAGAUGGUCUCGAGGAAGGAGCAGAAGCAGGAGGGAGGAAGGUAUGUAACUAGAAGCCAGCAAAGCAGCAGGGAGGUGGAUUUGACGCUCAGCCUCGGCAUCGGCAUUGGCUGCAACGUUGGUUGCUCGCGCAGGCACCAAACGCCAAUUGACCUCAACAUGCCGUGA